GGAGGCGUAAAAGGUAACCGUAAGUUUUUACCGGGGGCCGCAGAUUUUGAACCUUGCUACGGAAAAUUUAACGAGGGGGAAUCUAAAUUUGCUACGGAACAACAGUUGGAAACGACUGCUAAUACCGUAUGUGCCCUAACGGGGAAAGAUUUAUCGGCAAAUGAUGAGCCCGCGUUGGAUUAGCUAGUUGGUGGGGUAAAGGCCUACCAAGGCGACGAUCCAUAGCUGGUCUGAGAGGAUGAUCACCCACACUGGGACUGAAACACGGCCCAGACUCCUACGGGAGGCAGCAGUGGGGAAUAUUGGACAAUGGGCGCAAGCCUGAUCCAGCCAUGCCGCGUGAGUGAUGAAGGCCCUAGGGUUGUAAAGCUCUUUCACCGGUGAAAUAAUGACGGUAACCGGAAAAAACCCCGGCUAAUUUCGUGCCAGCACCGCGGUAAUACAAGGGGGCUACUUGUUCGAUGUCUGGGCUUAAA
RNAcentral lists this ribosomal RNA (476 nucleotides) under Ochrobactrum sp. HPC1131. RNAcentral's name for it is "bacterial SSU rRNA". It matches the Rfam family "Bacterial small subunit ribosomal RNA", at positions 42 to 564 of the family's 1533-position model. Lineage: Bacteria; Pseudomonadati; Pseudomonadota; Alphaproteobacteria; Hyphomicrobiales; Brucellaceae. The record is from RNAcentral.